UACGAAGGGGGCUAGCGUUGUUCGGAUUUACUGGGCGUAAAGCGCGUGUAGGCGGGUCGUUAAGUUGGGGGUGAAAGCCCGGAGCUCAACUCCGGAACUGCCUUCAAAACUGGCGACCUGGAGCAUGUCAGAGGCGAGUGGAAUUGCGAGUGUAGAGGUGAAAUUCGUAGAUAUUCGCAGGAACACCAGUGGCGAAGGAGACUCGCUGGGACAUUGUUGACGUUGAGACGCGAAAGCGUGGGGAGCAAACAGG
Molecule: ribosomal RNA, 253 nt
Filed under: uncultured bacterium
Lineage: Bacteria
Description: partial 16S ribosomal RNA
Rfam family: Bacterial small subunit ribosomal RNA
Source: RNAcentral